UACGAAGGUGGCAAGCGUUGUCCGGAAUUACUGGGUGUAAAGGGCGUGUAGGCGGGAUAGCAAGUCAGAUGUGAAAUGCCGGGGCUCAACCCCGGCGCUGCAUCUGAAACUGUUAUUCUUGAGUGUCGGAGAGGAAAGUGGAAUUCCCAGUGUAGCGGUGAAAUGCGUAGAGAUUGGGAGGAACACCAGUGGCGAAGGCGGCUUUCUGGACGAUAACUGACGCUGAGGCGCGAAAGCGUGGGGAGCAAACAGG
Molecule: ribosomal RNA, 253 nt
Filed under: uncultured bacterium
Lineage: Bacteria
Description: partial 16S ribosomal RNA
Rfam family: Bacterial small subunit ribosomal RNA
Source: RNAcentral